RNAcentral lists this non-coding RNA (1217 nucleotides) under Cryptosporidium parvum. The record is from RNAcentral. Lineage: Eukaryota; Apicomplexa; Conoidasida; Eucoccidiorida; Cryptosporidiidae.
CUGGCGUACUCUUUAGUUUUUGGAGAAAAAUUAACUCCUAAAACUUGUUUGAAAUAAUUUCUUGCUCGACCAUUUCCACCAAUAUCCAUCCUCACCAGCUGAAUUGGAGUAAAUUUAUCAAGAUCAGAUGACCUUACAAAACUAAUAUGUACUCCCAUCUUCCUAUGAUCAGAGGAACAAUUUAGGCAAAUGAAUACAGCAAAUGAUAAUGAAAGCCAUGUGGGAUUCCUAGAUUCGCAAUCAAAGCAAGUUCGAUUUUCCGGCCUAUUUCUCACAAUUUGGAAGAAAUUAUCUCUGAGUUUAUCGGAAACAAACCCUUUUUCGUCUACAUCAGCAUUAAUUAAAUUUGAAAUAUUCAUAUUUUGUUAAUGUUCAGUUCUACCGCGCAAGAAUUCUUUACUUCGGAAAUUUCUUAUUGGUAAUUCUCCUCAUAAUAUUCUUCAAAUUGUUCCAUGCGGCUUGGUUUCUAAUAAGUUGUGGGUUCUUAAGACAGCUUGUAUGUAUUGCAAUAAUGUAUAGUUGUGAUAUGUUUAGCUCCUUUUGUCUGCAUAAAUGCAUAACUUUCAUCCUUAAUGACACACUAUAAAAUUCUUGCUUUGUUUGGAUGAAAUUAUAUGUGAACAAACCUACUGAUCUUUGUAUAUAUGUUGCGUAACGACCAAUAGUAACAACCCAUGACAUUGCAGAUUCUAAUGAACUGGCAAUGAAAUCCGAACAAAACGUAUCAUAUCCAUCAAGAAUUCGAAUGCUAAAAAACAGCCACGGGGAAUUUAUUACUUCAUUCUUAUCUUCUUCUGCUUCACUUUUUGUCUGGCGUUUAAACAGCUCGUGAAAGAAGCCUUUAGGCUGAUUAAUUCUUCGAAAUGAGUUAGAGUUAUUUCCAUAAUCAAUACCUAUCACUUUUUCCAAAGGUAUGGUUUUCACAACGUUGCUUGAAGUUGUGUAUUCAAAUGUUGUGCCAACAAUUCUGCAAUAACACUUUAAAGUAUUACCAUGACUACCUUGUAAUUUAUGUAAAAUUGAGCCAUUUCUAACUUCAAAUGUUAAACUAGGUUCAAGAGCGUUACCUGGCCGACCAACACUAUUAAAUAGCAAUCUUUUAAGAUUAAUAAUCUUUUCUUUAGAAUUUGUCAGUUGUGUUUUUAAGCUAUUCACAAGCAUAUAUGAGUCUUGAAUUCUUCGAUUUUCAUUUGCAAUUAUAUCGUUUUUAAAAUGAG